RNAcentral lists this ribosomal RNA (253 nucleotides) under uncultured bacterium. RNAcentral describes it as "partial 16S ribosomal RNA". It matches the Rfam family "Bacterial small subunit ribosomal RNA", at positions 524 to 776 of the family's 1533-position model. The record is from RNAcentral.
GACAGAGGAUGCAAGCGUUAUCCGGAAUGAUUGGGCGUAAAGCGUCUGUAGGUGGCUUUUUAAGUCUGCCGUCAAAUCCCAGGGCUUAACCCUGGACAGGCGGUGGAAACUACCAAGCUGGAGUACGGUAGGGGCAGGGGGAAUUUCCGGUGGAGCGGUGAAAUGAGUAGAGAUCGGAAAGAACACCAACGGCGAAAGCACUCUGCUGGGCCGACACUGACACUGAGAGACGAAAGCUAGGGGAGCGAAUGGG